GACCAGCCUUAGACCCGUCCCCACCUGCCGCUCCCUGAGACGGGGCUCCGAUGGACCUUCAGCUCUAAUUGUCCCCUCCCUCUCCUCCCAGCGACAGUUGGCUGUCUCGGGCUAUCACCUUCCUGGACCGGCUUUUAAUGUGGCUGGGUAUCCGCAGGGACUAGACCUCUAGAGACCAUCUCCCGGACCCCGUGCUGCGGUUCCCACUGCAAUUGAAGCCUGGGCCCCAGGCCUGAGCCUCAGCCUCCACCACGUCUCUGCCUCCUUCUUCUCUGGGUCGGGACCACAGCCCCGCCUGCUGGAGGUAGCCUGUGGCACGACUGGGUGGGGAGGCCCCUGUCCAGCAGGCUUUGCUUCUCGAACCUGCUGACUUGAGGUGCCCCUCUGCCUCCUUAGCACUGUGCCAGUCUCUGAAGGACGCAUUCCACAGGCCCACUGUGGGGACACUGUUCAUGAGGUGCCUGUGCCUCCCGGGGAACCUCUGUCAACUCAGAGCUGGGUGUGUCCUAACGGUCACAGAGUCCCCUUCCCCUUACCACAGGGUGUUCCCCCUCUGAGGCCUUCUGUCCACCUUUCCCUCUUACUGGCGGGUUCUCUGGUGUCCCAUUCACUUCCACUCUCCAGAACCACCAGGACGACAGGUUCUGCCCAGUUUGCAUCCUGAGGGUUCCGGCCUCACCACAGAGCCUUCCACAACCUCCUCCCUGGUGCUCUGCUGCACAGGCAUCAGCCAGUGUCCGAGAGGGCCCAGCACAGUUGCAUAGGUUAUUCAUCACACAAGUCCAGGGAGUGUCAUGCACACCAAGGUUGACGUGACAUGACAGUGUGCAGGGUGACUGCUCUUGAGGAAAGAUUUGUCCCUGCCUCAGGAUGUGAGCACUCGGUGGGGUUAUGUAAAGUUGAUGUCACCACAUUCUCACAUGACAGAUGUCCCCCAAUUCUCAAAUGGCUUUGUGUGUCACAACUCUGGAGUCAUCCUUCUGAACUGGGGACAUGUUUGCAAAGAAACGAUACUGAGGAGGCUGCCAUCUGCUUCACUGACUGGACCCGCUCAUCCCGCAGGGGCCUGCU
RNAcentral lists this long non-coding RNA (1071 nucleotides) under Marmota monax (woodchuck). Lineage: Eukaryota; Metazoa; Chordata; Mammalia; Rodentia; Sciuridae. The record is from RNAcentral.